This 510-nucleotide ribosomal RNA is filed under the name uncultured Actinomycetes bacterium. RNAcentral's name for it is "bacterial SSU rRNA". It matches the Rfam family "Bacterial small subunit ribosomal RNA", at positions 376 to 896 of the family's 1533-position model. The record is from RNAcentral. Lineage: Bacteria; Bacillati; Actinomycetota; Actinomycetes.
CGCAAGCCUGAUGCAGCAACGCCGCGUGAGGGACGACGGCCUUCGGGUUGUAAACCUCUUUUAGCAGGGAAGAAGCGUGAGUGACGGUACCUGCAGAAAAAGCACCGGCUAACUACGUGCCAGCAGCCGCGGUAAUACGUAGGGUGUAAGCGUUAUCCGGAAUUAUUGGGCGUAAAGAGCUCGUAGGCGGUUUGUUGCGUCUGCUGUGAAAACCCGAGGCUCAACCUCGGGCCUGCAGUGGGUACGGGCAGACUAGAGUGCGGUAGGGGAGAUUGGAAUUCCUGGUGUAGCGGUGGAAUGCGCAGAUAUCAGGAGGAACACCGAUGGCGAAGGCAGAUCUCUGGGCCGUAACUGACGCUGAGGAGCGAAAGGGUGGGGAGCAAACAGGCUUAGAUACCCUGGUAGUCCACCCCGUAAACGUUGGGAACUAGUUGUGGGGUCCAUUCCACGGAUUCCGUGACGCAGCUAACGCAUUAAGUUCCCCGCCUGGGGAGUACGGCCGCAAGGCUA